GGUUCCGUCCUGGCUCCAGAACGGGAUGCUUUACACAUGCAAGUCGAACGGCAGCGCGGACUUCGGUCUGGUGGCGGGCGAACGGGUGAGUAAUGUAUCAGAACGUGCCUAGUAGCGGGGGAUAACUACGCGAAAGCGUAGCUAAUACCAUACGCCCUUCGAGGAAGCGAAGCUGGGCCUCGCACUAUUAAACGGCCGAUAUCGGAUUAGCUAGUUGGUGGGGUAACGGCUCACCAAGGCGACGAUCCGUAGCUGGUUUGAGGACGACCAGCCACACUGGGACUGAGACCACGGCAGACUCACGGGAGGCAGCAGUGGGGGAAUUUUGGACAAUGGGGAAACCCUGAUCCAGCCAUCCCGUGUACGAUGAAGGCCUUCGGGUUGUAAAGCACUUUUGGCGGAAAGAAACGGCUGGAUAAUACCCCGAUACAGCAGCUGACUACCUGCAGAACCGGCACCGGCUAACUACACGUGCCAGCAGCCGCGGUAAUACGUAGGGUGCAAGCGUUAAUCGGAAUUACUGGGCGUAAAGCGUGCGCAGGCGGUUCAGGAAGAAGGUGCUUAAAAUCCCAGAGCUUAACUUUGGAACUGCAUUUUUUAUUGCAAAGAGCUAGAGUGUGUCAGAGGAGGUGGAAUUCCGCGUGUAGCGGUGAAAUGCGUAGAUAUGGGAGGAACACCGAUGGCGAAGCAACCUCCUGGGAUAACACUGACGCUCAUGCACGAAAGCGUGGGGAGCAAACAGGAUUAGAUACCCUGGUGAUCCGCCUAAACGAUGUCAGCAGCUGUUCGGACCUUCGGGCCUUGAUAAGCGCAGCUAACGCGUGAGAUUGACCGCCUGGGAAAGAUACGGUCGCAAGAUUAAAACUCAAGAUGGCAGGGACCCACAAAAACUAGUGGAUGAUGUGGAUUAAUUCGAUGCAACACGAAAAACCUUACUACCCUUGACACAUCUGGGAAUCCCGAAGAGAUUUGGGAGUGCUCGCAAGGUAGAACAGGUGCUGCAUGGCUGUCAUCCGCUCGUGUCGUGAGAUGUUGGGUUAAGUCCCGCAACGAGCGCAACCCUUGUCAUUAGUUACUACGAAGGCACUCCUAAUGAGACUGCCGGUAACAAACCCGGAGGAAGGGGGGAUGACGUCAAGUCCUCAUAUGCAUAUGGGUAGGGCUUCACACGUCAUACAGUGGACAGAGGUCGCCAACCCGCGAGGGGGAGCCAAUCCCAGAAACCCGAUCGUAGUCCGGAUAAGUCUGCAACUCGACUGCACGUGAAGUCGGAAUGCUUCAGUAAUCGCGGAUCAGCAUGUGGUGAAUACAUUCCCAGGUCUUGUACACACCGCCGUCACACCGUAAGUCGGUUUUACCAGAAGUAGUUAGCCUAGCCGUAAGGGCUGAUUACUACGGCUGAUUCGCAGCUGGGGUGAAGUCGUAACAAAAGGUAA
Molecule: ribosomal RNA, 1436 nt
Filed under: uncultured Bordetella sp.
Lineage: Bacteria; Pseudomonadati; Pseudomonadota; Betaproteobacteria; Burkholderiales; Alcaligenaceae
Description: partial 16S-23S ribosomal RNA intergenic spacer
Rfam family: Bacterial small subunit ribosomal RNA
Source: RNAcentral